GCCCCCUUAGCGCAGAGGAUAGCGCAACUGCCUUCUAAGCAGUGGGUCGCAGGUUCGAAUCCUGCAGGGGGCG
RNAcentral lists this transfer RNA (73 nucleotides) under Chloroflexota bacterium. RNAcentral's name for it is "Chloroflexi bacterium (anaerobic digester metagenome) tRNA-Arg". It matches the Rfam family "tRNA". Rfam says of the family: Transfer RNA (tRNA) molecules are approximately 80 nucleotides in length. RNAcentral also lists the same sequence under 1 other name. The record is from RNAcentral. Lineage: Bacteria; Bacillati; Chloroflexota.